RNAcentral lists this unclassified non-coding RNA (2483 nucleotides) under Leishmania donovani. RNAcentral's name for it is "gene:LdHU3.20.1420(CDS-product:DNAj-like_protein)". Lineage: Eukaryota; Euglenozoa; Kinetoplastea; Trypanosomatida; Trypanosomatidae. The record is from RNAcentral.
CAGUUCUGCGUGCGUCUGUGCCAGUGCACCUGCGUUAAAAUCACCAUCAACGGGGAUAUCCGAGCACAAAUUUCUCUACAGUCCACCACCGCCAUUGCAACAACAACUUCACACCAUGCAAGUGUUGUCGAUUGAACUGCCUGCCUUGAAGGCGGGCGAGAAGGCGCUUGAGUGGCCUCAGACGCAGCCAGGCGUCACCGACGAUGCCGUCGCGGCCGAUGCACCGCCGCAACUGAACCGCUGGAUCGAGGCGUACCGCAUCAUUCCGCUAGGAGAGGCGUUCUGUCGCAGUGUCGCCCUCACAACGCAGCUGCGGCACGAGGAUGCACGUAUGCAGCAAGCACAUGCCGACCCCAAUGUGGCGCAGCAGUGGGCCGCGGAGGAGGUCGAUGGCAUUGCCGCUGGCGCAGACGGCGAGGGUGCAAACGAUGCAGACGACGACGGCGUCGGUGACGGUGCCCGUUACCAGUCCUCCUCCCGCAAGAAGAAAUUCGUGAAGCUGGCGGACAGCGACAUGCUGAUUGACUGGUACGAGGUGCUGAAGCUGGAGCAGGAGGAAGGGGCGACAGACGACCAAAUCAAAGCGGCCUACCGACGCCGCUGCCUCGAGACGCACCCCGACAAGCAGCAGAACCACUCCGAUGAACUCUUCAAGAAGGUGCAACGUGCCUUCGACAUCCUUGGCGACCCAGACACGCGCCAGGCCUACGACUCCUCGCGCCCGUUCAACGACGCCAUCCCUGGCGAGCAGGUGGAGGAGGCCGACUUCUUCAGCACCUUCGGCCCCGUCUUCGAACGCAACAAGAAGUGGAGCAGCGUCCCCGGCAUGCCAUCCCUCGGCACGGAUAAGACGCCGUACGCCGAGGUACUCCGCUUCUACGACCGCUGGACGGGUUUUCAGAGCUGGCGCGACUUCUCACACCUGGCGGAUCUGGUGGAAAUCGACGACACCAUGUGCCGCGAGGAGAAGCGCUACUAUCAGCGCGAGAACGCGCGCCAGCUGAGCCACCACCGCAGGGAGGAGCAGAAGCGCAUCCGACUUCUGGUCGAGCGGGCGCGCAAGAACGACCCGCGCCUGCGCCGCCGCCGAGAAGAGGAGGAAGAGAAGCGCCUCAAAGUGUUGAGGGAACGGGAAACAUUCCGGCUGCAGCUCGCCGCCGAGGAGGAGCGUCGCCGCGCUGAAGAGGCCCGAAAGCAGAAGGAGAGGGAAGAGGCCAAGGUGGGCGCGCAGCAGCAAGAGAAGCAGGCGAUGCGCGAGGUGCAGAUGGCGGUUCUGCGCUUCUUUGAACAGCAUGGGCUCCUGGACGAAACCCCGACAAACAAGCUCCUCGCAGACCGUGUGCGCCGUCCGAACGUGCAGUGGAUCUUCUCCAAGACCACCAACGCGACCGAGGCGCAGAAGCUGCGCGAUGUCCUACUGGCCUGCCCCACGGAUCGCCGGCCACGCACGAACGACCCGCAGAGCAAAGAUGUGGAAGGCGCCGAGGAGGUGGAGGCCGUCAUGCGCUUCAACGCGCUCAUUCAAAAGAUGGAACAACGCUGCGGCGUGAACCGCUACGGCGAGGCCGUGAAGAAGGUGCAGGACGGCGAUGCGGCCACGGCUGCAGCGAAGAAGAACGAAGUCGCGGCGGCAGCAGCAAAGGCCCCUGUCGACGCAGGACAGGAAUGGACGGACGAGGACCUAAGCCGGUUGCAGAAGGCGACGGCCAAGUACCCGCCUGGUUCCGUCGAUCGCUGGAUCAAGAUCUGCGACGUGCUCCGUCACCGCUUUACGGAGGAGCAGGCCAUGGCCAAGGUGAGCGAGCUAACUGCUGCGCUGCACAAUGCAGGGUCUGGCAACCCCACUGCUACCGCCGCCGCCUCCCCCUCGCACGCCUCGGCCACCAGCACAGCUGCCUCGUCCGUGGAGAACUGGUCUCUGAAGCAGCAGAAGCAGCUGGAGCAGGGUCUGCGUGACUUGAAGGAUUAUAAGGAGAAGGACAAGUUCCAGAAAAUCGCGAAGAUGGUAGAGGACAAGACAGCCAAAGAGUGUUUUGAGCGCUUCAAGUUCCUCUGCUCUGUGAACAAGAAGAAAUAAUGCGCCGCAUGUCUAGCGCCUGCGUGCGUGCAAGGGCUGUGGCGCACCGUUGAGAAGCGUCACGUGCAACGCCGCCUGAGAUAAGAGCAUGGUAAAACUGUGGUGAUUCAAGCACAUGUACGUGCACUCAGCACGCCGGUGUGCCUGAAUCUCUUUUUUUUACUUGUGCGCGUGUGCCCGUGCGUGCAGCCGCUUUUUUUUUUCGUUUCCCCGUAUCUGGUGUUGCGUCUAAUGGCACAAGCAAGCAACGUCUGUGUGGCGGAGCAACGGUCUCUGCCUGUCUGUCUGCUGUUGUGUGCAAGGGGGUGGGCGGGAAAGACAGUGCUUGCGUAUUCUCUUUGCGGCCAUGAGCUGCGAGCCACCUCCGCCCCUUUCAGGCCUUGUCUUUUCGCUUUUCCUGUGAUAC